AGUGAACGCUGGCGGUAGGCCUAACACAUGCAAGUCGAACGGAAGCACAGUAAGAGUUUGCCCUUACGGGUGGCGAGUGGCGGACGGGUGAGGAAUACAUCGGCAUCUUCUUUUUCGUGGGGGAUAACGUAGGGAAACUUACGCUAAUACCGCAUACGACCUACGGGUGAAAGCAGGAGAUCUUCGGACCUUGCGCGAUUGAAUGAGCUGAUGUCGGAUUAGCUAGUUGGCAGGGUAAAGGCCCACCAAGGCGACGAUCCGUAGCUGGUCUGAGAGGAUGAUCAGCCACACUGGAACUGAGACACGGUCCAGACUCCUACGGGAGGCAGCAGUGGGGAAUAUUGGGCAAUGGGCGCAAGCCUGAUCCAGCCAUACCGCGUGAGUGAAGAAGGCCUUCGGGUUGUAAAGCCCUUUUGUUGGGAAAGAAAAGCAGCAGGUGAAUACCCCGCUGUUCUGACGGUACCCAAAGAAUAAGCACCGGCUAACUUCGUG
RNAcentral lists this ribosomal RNA (492 nucleotides) under uncultured bacterium. RNAcentral describes it as "partial 16S ribosomal RNA". It matches the Rfam family "Bacterial small subunit ribosomal RNA", at positions 29 to 507 of the family's 1533-position model. The record is from RNAcentral.